RNAcentral lists this unclassified non-coding RNA (409 nucleotides) under Artemisia tridentata (big sagebrush). RNAcentral describes it as "partial external transcribed spacer". Lineage: Eukaryota; Viridiplantae; Streptophyta; Magnoliopsida; Asterales; Asteraceae. The record is from RNAcentral.
GUCGUAAAGGUGGAUGAGUGGUGUUUGGUUUGUUACGUGUGGUUGGCUGCGGCGUUUGCAACAACUUCCAUGCUUUCAGACCUCUUCAUUUGUGCGGCAAGGCUUGUAUCGCCUUGAGCGUAUUGUGGGUUUGCUGUGUUGAAUACCUAAUCAAUGGUAUCGGUUGGAUUGAUCAAUGUUUCAUUUCGUCUGUCGUCGCAUUCGCGGCGUGAGAUGAACCUUGAUGCGGUCUCUUUGAUCCACCUCGUUGAAGCGCNUGCUUUGACGUUKWGGCGCAUUGAGCAUUGCUUGGUSUCUUGCAURCGGAACAUGUAGCGGGCAUGAAUCUWACGGUUCUCGUUUGCCCUCAUAUUAGCGUAACGCUUCUCUUACACGACUUGCUCCACGUUUUAGCUYGUACGGACGUGGU